Molecule: non-coding RNA, 29 nt
Filed under: Mus musculus (house mouse)
Lineage: Eukaryota; Metazoa; Chordata; Mammalia; Rodentia; Muridae
Source: RNAcentral
CCGAAAUUGCCCUCAAGUCCAGAAUCGCC